This 409-nucleotide long non-coding RNA is filed under the name Mytilus galloprovincialis (Mediterranean mussel). Lineage: Eukaryota; Metazoa; Mollusca; Bivalvia; Mytilida; Mytilidae. The record is from RNAcentral.
GUAAUUUAAACCAUUAUCAUGUUUAUAGGUCAAGGUACUGCCUUGUAGACGAAACGCGCGUCUGGCGUAUAUACUAAAUUUAGUCCUGGUAUCUAUGAUGACUUUAUUUGAAAACAAAUCCUUGGCUCACAAAGAACAGCAAGCUAUGAAAGGCUCCAAAAAUUAAUAGUUUAAAACCAUUUAAACAAGAAAAAAAACUGUAUAAUCUAUAUGAAAAACGAAAAACGAAAAGCACUUAUCAACCACAUCAACUAACGACAACCAUUUAACAAAAAACGGUUCUGCCUUAUGACAUGUGCAAACAAAUGCAGCCAGUUUAAACGUUUCAACUGGCACUGAACUUCAACUUAACCUGAAACAUUAGUGUAGCAUCAAAACGCAGAAACCCGACUUUACAAUUAUAGCCCGA